GUGUCAGCAGCCGCGGUAAUACGUAGGUGGCAAGCGUUGUCCGGAAUUAUUGGGCGUAAAGGGCGCGUAGGCGGCCUGAUAAGUCAGAUGUGAAAGCCCGAGGCUCAACCUCGGAUCUGCAUUUGAAACUGUCGGGCUAGAGUGCAGGAGAGGUAAGUGGAAUUCCUAGUGUAGCGGUGAAAUGCGUAGAGAUUAGGAGGAACACCAGUGGCGAAGGCGACUUACUGGACUGUAACUGACGCUGAGGCGCGAAAGCGUGGGGAGCAAACAGGAUUAGAUACCCUGGUAGUCCACGCUGUAAACGAUGGAUACUAGGUGUGGGAGGUAUCGACCCCUUCCGUGCCGCAGUAAACGCAAUAAGUAUCCCGCCUGGGGAGUACGGCCGCAAGGUUGAA
RNAcentral lists this ribosomal RNA (395 nucleotides) under uncultured bacterium. RNAcentral describes it as "bacterial SSU rRNA". It matches the Rfam family "Bacterial small subunit ribosomal RNA", at positions 505 to 898 of the family's 1533-position model. The record is from RNAcentral.